GCAUAUCAAUAAGCGGAGGAAAAGAAACCAACAGGGAUUGCCCCAGUAACGGCGAGUGAAGCGGCAAGAGCUCAAAUUUGAAAUCUGGCCCCCUCCGGGGGUCCGAGUUGUAAUUUGUAGAGGAUGCUUCGGGUGUGGCCGCCGUCUAAGUUCCUUGGAACAGGACGUCAGAGAGGGUGAGAAUCCCGUCUUGGGCGGCCGGUCCGCGCCCGUGUGAAGCUCCUUCGACGAGUCGAGUUGUUUGGGAAUGCAGCUCUAAGCGGGUGGUAAAUUUCAUCUAAAGCUAAAUACUGGUCGGAGACCGAUAGCGCACAAGUAGAGUGAUCGAAAGGUUAAAAGCACCUUGGAAAGGGAGUUAAACAGCACGUGAAAUUGUUGAAAGGGAAGCGCUUGCGGCCAGACUCGGGGGCGGGGUUCAGCGGGCGCUCGUCGCCCGUGCACUCCCCGUCUCCCGGGCCAGCAUCAGUUUCGACGGCCGGUCAAAGGCCCCCGGAAUGUGUCGUCUCUCGGGACGUCUUAUAGCCGGGGGUGCAAUGCGGCCCGUCGGGACUGAGGAACGCGCUCCGGCUCGGAUGCUGGCGUAAUGGCCGUAAGCGGCCCGUCUUGAAACACGGACCAAGGAGUCUAACAUCCACGCGAGUGUUCGGGUGUCAAACCCGUGCGCGCAGUGAAAGCGAACGGAGGUGGGAGCCUUAGGGCGCACCAUCGACCGAUCCUGAAGUCUUCGGAUGGAUUUGAGUAGGAGCGUGGCCGUUGGGACCCGAAAGAUGGUGAACUAUGCCUGAAUAGGGUGAAGCCAGAGGAAACUCUGGUGGAGGCUCGCAGCGGUUCUGACGUGCAAAUCGAUCGUCAAAUUUGGGCAUAGGGGCGAAAGACUAAUCGAACCAUCUAGUAGCUGGUUCCUGCCGA
RNAcentral lists this ribosomal RNA (909 nucleotides) under Nannizzia praecox. RNAcentral's name for it is "LSU rRNA". It matches the Rfam family "Eukaryotic large subunit ribosomal RNA", at positions 38 to 964 of the family's 3401-position model. Lineage: Eukaryota; Fungi; Ascomycota; Eurotiomycetes; Onygenales; Arthrodermataceae. The record is from RNAcentral.